This 1378-nucleotide ribosomal RNA is filed under the name uncultured bacterium. RNAcentral's name for it is "partial 16S ribosomal RNA". It matches the Rfam family "Bacterial small subunit ribosomal RNA", at positions 28 to 1381 of the family's 1533-position model. The record is from RNAcentral.
GAUGAACGCUGGCGGCGUGCCUAAUACAUGCAAGUCGAGCGAACAGACCAUGGUGGUUGGGCUCUCUGACGUUAACGGCGGAAGGAAGACUAGCACGAGCUGAACCGACCUAUAAGACUGGCAUGACUUCCUGAAACCGGAGCUAAAACCGAAUAAUAUUUUCCGCCGCGUGGGGAAAUAUUGAACGACGGAUCAGCUGCUCCUUAUCUAUGGACCUCGCGGUGGAUUAAAUGGCUGGAGAGGGAACGGAUCACCUAGGCGACCAUACAUAGUCUACCUGACAUGGUGAUCUGACAUACUGGCCACUAAUCACUACGGCCCAGACUCCUACGGGAAUGUUGCACUAUGGAAUCUUCCGCUGUGGACGAAAGUCUGACUGAGCAACGACGCGUGACUGAAUAAGGUCUUCUGAUCGUAAAACUCUGUUGUUGGGGAAAAACAACUACGUUAGUAACUGACCGUUCCUUGACUGUACCUUACCACAAUGCCACGGAUAACUACAUGCCAGCCCCCACGGAAAGACCUAAGUGGCAUCCGUUAUCCGGAGUUAUUGCGCGUGAAGCGCUCGGAGGCUGAUUCUUAGGUCUGAUGUGAAAUGCCCCGGCUCAUCCGGUGAGGGUCAUUGAACACUGGGAGACUUGAUUGCAGAAAAUGAGAGUGAAAUUCCGUGUGUCGCGGAAAUGCGCACAGAUAUGGAGAAACACCCCUGUGGAAAGCGGCUCUCUGUGCUGUAACUGAGACUCAGAUGAGAAAACGCGUGGAUCGCACACGAUAAUAUACCCUGUGAUACCCCGCGCCAUACAAUGAGUGCUCUAUGUGGGAGGGUCUCCCCCCGUCAGUGGUGCCGCUAAUGCAUUAUUCACUCCCCCUGGGGAGUACUGCCGCCACACUGAUACUCCUCGGAAUUGAUGGCGACCCCCCCCACCGGCGGAGCAUGUGGUUUAUUUCUUCGCUGCGCCAAGAACAUCACCAAAUGGGGACGUCCUCUGACAAAUCGAGAUAUAGAUCUUUCCCCCUCGGGGGGCAGAGGGACAGGUGGUGCAUGGUUGUCGUCAGCUCGUGUCGUGAGAUGUUGGGUUAAGUCCCGCAACGAGCGCAACCCUUGUCUUUAGUUGCCAUCAUUAGGUUGGGCACUCAUAGAGAGACUGCCGGUGACAACUCGGAGGAAGGUGGGGAUGACGUCAAAUCAUCAUGCCCCUUAUGAUUUGGGCUACACACGUGCUACAAUGGAUGGUACAAAGGGCUGCAACACUGCGAGGUGGAGCAAAUGCCAUAAACCCACUCUCAGUUGGGAUGGUUGUCGCCAAUUGGCCCCCAGGAAUCGGGAAUCGUUGGUAUUGCUGGAUCACCAUGCUACGGUGAAUACGUUCCCGGGUCU